Molecule: long non-coding RNA, 1969 nt
Organism: Manis pentadactyla (Chinese pangolin)
Lineage: Eukaryota; Metazoa; Chordata; Mammalia; Pholidota; Manidae
Exons: 4
Source: RefSeq, a predicted model, not a curated record
CCCACAAAGACCCAUUGUCCCCACACUCAGAGCCAGGCUGCUCCUGUGCAGCUGUCAUAACACGGAUCCACUGGUCCUUCCUCAGACAGUUUUGUUACCAGAUCUGGGUCUCACAUUUGCACUUUAUCUUGCCCCCACUCCAGGCCCUACACGGAGCUCUAGGCAUCCCAGGUCCCCUGCGUCCCAGCUGACAGGCACCUUGGGCUUCUGGAGCCUUCUCUGUGCCCACACCUGUUUUGCUGUGGGAACUUGACCUGGCUUUUCUCCUUGCCUGAGAGUGCUGGAAAUGUCAGACUUGGGGGCAGGGGACACAGAUCACUGCUGUUCCUUUCCUCCGCAUUUCCCUAGUGAAUACAAAGGUUUUGGUUUAAAUUAGAGAUGGUGGACCUUAUAGCUUUGUAAAUACCCCUUGGUCUCCGUCUCUGACCCUUUUCCUUCUUCCUCUUGACACCUGGGCACUCAUCGCUGGGUCCUGAAGCCUAGAGCCAUGUUACCGACUCUCUCCCCGUGCUUCCUGGUGUUAGUAGAAGCAGACACUUUCCUCCAGUGCCCUGUUCUCACUCCAGCCUUUCCAUCCCAGGAUUACACAUGCUAAUUAUGUGCAAAGGGUGUUCAUUUCCUUGUCACAUAACUUCUGUGAGGUCACAACCUCCGGUAGUGAAACUGAGGCAGGAGGAGGCCAGGCGCUGACGCGGGAUCAUGGAGUCACUGGAAGAGCUUGGCCUCCCUCGGGUUCUCCUGGGCCCCAGCUCAGAGUCCUUUCAGAAUUGGAGCUGCUGUGCUCUGCCAUGAGGCCGACUGCCCCGCAGAAGGGCUGCCAUGCAGAGUGCUUGAACCAGCAGGUGCCAAUGACCUCUUUUCUGUCACUCCAGAGUUGGGUAGAAACAAGAUGGUGGGACUCAGUUACCUGAGAAAGGCUUUCUGUUUGCAGAACACCUUCAGCGUCUGGCAGAGCACCAGUCCAGCCUGCAGGGACUGGUGAGAACAGCACAGCGCCGCCUCCUUCCUCUGCCCUUCUCCCUCCCAUCACCCAGUUCCAAAAGUUGUGGAAGAGAGAUCUUUUUGUCAUUUAUAUGACAUCUUCUGGGACUCCUGUGAGUUAGUUGCUCGCUAACUUAAACUGAACAAAUGAUAAUUGCAAAACCGGAGAAAAAUCGGCACUCAAAUUCCUACUUGGUAUAGAACUGUUUAUUAUAACAGUUUCCAGUAGGUGGCAGGAAGGUGUCAUGAAGGGCAGGUGCGGUGAUCCGAUUUGUGCAGUGUCUGUUAGCUGGCAGCGGGCCCACCCUUGGCACCUCUGUUAAAGCUGUCUCCACUGGGCUGGAGCUGCAGCUGGGGGAAGACCACGCUGGGCAUGACCUUGAGGCUCCUGCUGCCUGGUGCCCUGGAGGGAGCGGGUGCAGGGUCCUGCCUUCCACCAGAGCCAGCAGGUGCCCUGGAACGCAGGCCUGGCCGUCGGGACUGCCCUGGUGGCUCCCAAGGCACACGGUUUAGUCCAGGGUCCUUGAACUGUGGCACGUGGGCCGAAUCCAGCCACUGCCUGGUUUUGUUUGGCUGGCAAGGUCACUUCAGCCUGGUCUGAUGCCUCUGUCCCUUGACCUUCUGCCAAUGCCCAGCUGUGAAUCAGUGGUGCCAGUUGCCCAUUGUCUCUUGCUCACCUGCAGAUUCCCACGUGCCCCCUGCUCAGUGUCACUUCCUGGACUCGCUGGUCACCCCCUGUGCUGGGUGCCCCCCUUGUCUCCCCGUCACAGGCCAGCUGUGACAGUCUGUCCUCCGGCAGCUGGACCCAAGCUGCUCAGGCCGCCACCACCUCUGCUCCCCGUGCAUGUGGAGCAUCCCCAAAGGCGCAAGGAGUGAGUUGAAUGUUCAGAAAAAUACACCUGUUCUUUAGCUGAGAAUAUAAUGCAAUAAAGGAGAACUGCAGAUUACAGUCCCCAUUUUCUUCCUGCCACUGGGACUUCCCAGCAGG